GUUUUUGAUGGAAUGCAGUAAUUUACUAGUAUCAUGCAACAGAGACAUAUGUACACAAGAAUCAGUCACCAUGCUUAC
Long non-coding RNA from Etheostoma spectabile (orangethroat darter), 78 nucleotides. RefSeq lists it as uncharacterized. The record is from RefSeq and is a predicted model, not a curated record. The transcript is spliced from 3 exons. NCBI's taxonomy places the organism in Eukaryota, Metazoa, Chordata, Actinopteri, Perciformes, Percidae.